CCUACGGGAGGCAGCAGUCGGGAAUCUUGCGCAAUGGGCGAAAGCCUGACGCAGCAACACCGUGUGAGCGACGAAGGCCUUCGGGUCGUAAAGCUCUGUUGUUGGGGACGAAGGGUUAGGGGUUAAUAGCCCCGAGCCUGACGGUACCCUUCGAGGAAGCCCCGGCUAACUACGUGCCAGCAGCCGCGGUAAUACGUAGGGGGCGAGCGUUGUCCGGAAUUAUUGGGCGUAAAGAGCGUGUAGGCGGUUCGGUAAGUCUGCCGUGAAAACCCAGGGCUCAACCCUGGGCGUGCGGUGGAUACUGCCGGGCUAGAGGGUGGUAGAGGCGAGUGGAAUUCCCGGUGUAGCGGUGAAAUGCGCAGAUAUCGGGAGGAACACCAGUAGCGAAGGCGGCUCGCUGGGCCAUACCUGACGCUGAGACGCGAAAGCGUGGGGAGCAAACAGGAUUAGAUACCCUGGUAGUCCUAGCCGUAAACGAUGGACACUAGGUGUGGGGGGAGUCGAAUCUGUCUGUGCCGCAGCCAACGCGAUAAGUGUUCCGCCUGGGGAGUACGGCCGCAAGGCUAAAACUCAAAAGAAUUGACGGGGGCCCGCACGAGCAGCGGAGCAUGUUCUUUAAUUCGAUGCAACGCGAAGAACCUUACCUGGACUUGACAUGGUGCUGCAAGCGCACGGAAACGUGUGACCUUCGAGGGUGCACCACAGAUGCUGCAUGGCUGUCGCCAGCUCGUGUCGUGAGAUGUUGGGUUAAGUCCCGCAACGAGCGCAACCCCCGUCGCAUGUUGCCAGCAUUUAGUUGGGGACUCAUGUGAGACUGCCGGUGACAAACCGGAGGAAGGUGGGGAUGACGUCCAGUCAUCCUGGCUCUUACGUCCAGGGCUAGAAACGUGCUACAAUGGGCGCAUACAAAGGGCUGCAAGACCGUAAGGUGGAGCGAAUCUCUCAAAUGCGUCUAAGUUCGGACCGGGGUC
RNAcentral lists this ribosomal RNA (971 nucleotides) under uncultured bacterium. RNAcentral's name for it is "bacterial SSU rRNA". It matches the Rfam family "Bacterial small subunit ribosomal RNA", at positions 338 to 1305 of the family's 1533-position model. The record is from RNAcentral.